AGUAAAGAGGUUUGUUCUGCCAUGACAUUUCACUUUGACAUGCCUGCACUGGUGCAAGAAAAAAACAACACUAGGGGGUAGUUACACUAUGACUAUGUAUUCCUAUGUGCAACAAACAAAAACCACACAAACUUACAAUCCUCAAAGCAGAAGAGAUGGAUCAGAAGCAAACAAAAGAUAUGGGAAAGGUUACAAAGAGCCAUGGUGAUGUUCUGGUCAGGAAACUGUGAACAAGGAGGAACAGGGAAAGUGUAAGCGAAAGUGGAACAUGUUGGGGUCAAUAACCAAUCAGUUAGCACAGUAUAGAAUCAAGAACCAGAAGAGUAGUCAUGGAAACAGGCCGGGUCAAUAACCAAUCAGUCAGCACGGUACAGAAUCAGGAUCCAGAAGCAUAGUUAUAAAACAGGCAAAGGUCAGUUCAGGCAGCAAUACAGCAGUGGUCAAGGGCAGGCAAGGGUCAAGGAACAGUAAACCAGACAAGAAGAGCACCCAGGAAUGAUCAAGAAUAGACCUACGUUGGGCAAUGGGAAACUGGAUGAGACACCUAUAAAUAUUUGAAUUUCGCACCAGUGCAACGAUGUCACGACCAGUAUAAAAGAUGCAUGUGCUGCUUGCAAAGUCAAUGGCGCACAGAGAGGGAGGAUAUGAUGUCACUGACAUAAUAUUGAGGAGGAUGUAGCUUCAUCUUAUCAAUUUGCCUGGUCUAAGGUGGUGAAGGAAACUUUGGCGAAAGAGUUGUGGAAUUGCUUACUGAGAUCUGCUUGCAAGAGGGGGCCCCAUUAUAGUUGGUCUAGGUCAGGACUGUCCAGCUGGAGGCCUGCGGGUUGAAUAUGGUCCUCCAAAGGAUUUGGCUCGAAGGCUCCAAAGACUUCACUGUACUACAAUAUUAUUUUAAUUAUUUCUCUAUCUUGAAUAUGCUGUAUGUGAAAUAAUCAUCCCACUGCAAGUAAUAUAUUGUACAACACUGGUCUAGGUGGAAGAUGCUGUAUUACUUGUUUUUAUACCGGUUUAUAGAACCCAAAACUUGCUAACACAUUACCAGAUACAUCAUAGUCUGAAGAUAACCAAGUAUAAUUACCAUCAGAACUGUAAAUUGCAUGAAAAUUAUAUUACCAUAGCACUAUACUAACUAUGUUUAUACAGUCUAGGAAACAGUUGCAGCAGAUGUAUAUAUGGGGCAUUGUAAGCACCACAAUACAUAGAAAAUGGAUUUUCCAGCUGUGAUGAGAUUGUAAAUUGCUCUCUAUAUUGUUUUAAAAAAAACAAAACAAAGCAAAACAAUCACUGCAUAACUAAAUAUGUUUAACCAAAACAGGAAAUUAUCAUAUAGAUUUUAUUGUGCCUAGGGUGUGAUAAAAUCUGGCUGAUGAAAAUCGGUUUCGGUUUCAUCUGACUAUAGUGAUAAACACCAUUGGUGGCAUAUUAUAUUUAAUAUAUUUUAGAUCUAGACAUCUAGAAGGAAAUAUGCUUGGUUAUAAUACUUUGUUUUUCUAUGCCACUGUACAUGCAGCAUUUUAUCAAGGGGCUGAUGAGUCAUAAGGAAAAUUGCUAUCUCCCAGGUGCUUGAAAAAUAGUAUCACAAGAUAACACAGGCAGCACAAUUAUAAGGCAAUAAAGGAAAAAAAAUAAUUAUAUAUGGUAUAAUUAUAAUAUUGUAUAACAGUCGCCCAUAGAGACCAAUAGUAGGUAGCAACUAGUAUUCACCAGUAAAAGAAACUGGAUAUCUAAGCCAAACCUUAUAAUUGGUUUAUAAUGCCCAGUACAUUUUCAGAGAUAGACUCACAUAUUGAAUUUAUAUAGGGGUAUUUAACCCUUAGUUGUGCUCCUACCUUUCACUAUCAUGCUACAGUCCCUGUCAUCUAUAUACUUACAGCUUCAAUAGCUGAUCAUCAUUAUAGGCGUUUUGAUUAAUCCUGCUGCAAACUGGUACCAUAUAUCCCCCCUCUCUUUCACUUUCUAGAGUACCAACAUAGUUUCUGUUGUUCUACAACAAACUUUAACAGGACUAACCCCCAUUAAAUACAACUGCCCCUCUAUCAGCUCCCGGCAGCACAAUAAGGACCCAAGGAUAAAAAUAGACUUCAGCUAAGAUCCUGUAUAGUCUAAACAUUUAACAACCUCAGUCUGAGAGUAUAAUUAGAACAAAAUGGAUAAUUAGCAUAUUAACCAAAGUGGUGCUAAUAGAGUAACUAAAAAAAAUAGAUUUUACAGUGCUUCUUAGUGAUGUCAUGACGCUCGGCAUCAAAGCCGUCAAACACCAGCAUCACAGGGACCGGGAACCCGGAAGUGCGCGUCUGCGCACCAACAGUCUGGGAGAGACGCCUUACACAUGAGCCUCUAAAGUGGCAAUUUGCUCACUACCACAGCAGAGGUAAGCUGUUUGGAACUCUUGUUCCAAAUCUGCAUAUAUAUGGCGGACUGUGCUCUGGGUUAAACCUUCAAUCUUGCUAACAUUCAUUAACCCAGUUACAGAUCAAAAAUAGGAAUAAAUUAGGGUUUAGAACAAACUUUUGACCUAGUUUGAACCUCCUUUAGUUUGAACUCCUGUGUUUGUAACUGGACAUACAGAGGCCCCACUUGCUAGCACAUAUAUACUGAAAGGAGUGUUGAUGAUACUAAAUGCAUCCAUACUAGCUGGAUUUUUACUAGCUGGAUUUUUUAGAAGUGCCCCUAAUCCUUUACAUGAUCUGCUAACGCAACCUAGAAAUUGCUUGCCUCGAUUGCUUACUCCACAGAAUCCUGUGUUCUGCUGCUACAAAGACAGGAGUUAAAGGAGAAGGAAUACCAUUUUACACUUGGGGUGGCAAAAGCUAGGCACCCCCAAGUGAUUACUUUUACUUACCUGACACCCCGGGCCAGUGCUCCUAUCAGGAGAAAAUUGCACCGGCCCAGGGUCCUUCCAGCGAAGACCACAGAUCGAUCCUCUUCCUGAUUCUUCUUUUAUUUAAAUUUAAUUUAAGUAAAUAUUUUAAUAACGCCAAGUCACACUGAAAGUCUCAGUUCAAACUUUCCAUUCAGUUUCAUAUAAAAUAAAAACAUGGCAUAAAUGUAUGAUCACCAAAUAUACACAUUCCACUGACUUCUAUAGCUUUCAAUUUAGAUUUUUCAUAUUUUUUUUUGUUUAAAAAUAAAUCUCAAUGAA
This is an RNA transcript of Xenopus laevis (African clawed frog), 3142 nucleotides long. It is a transcript of the gene named cannabinoid receptor 2 S homeolog, with no coding region annotated. NCBI's taxonomy places the organism in Eukaryota, Metazoa, Chordata, Amphibia, Anura, Pipidae. The transcript is spliced from 4 exons. The record is from RefSeq and is a predicted model, not a curated record.